RNAcentral lists this ribosomal RNA (105 nucleotides) under Clostridium tetani. RNAcentral describes it as "partial 16S ribosomal RNA". It matches the Rfam family "Bacterial small subunit ribosomal RNA", at positions 1 to 101 of the family's 1533-position model. Lineage: Bacteria; Bacillati; Bacillota; Clostridia; Eubacteriales; Clostridiaceae. The record is from RNAcentral.
UUUUAAAUUGAGAGUUUGAUCCUGGCUCAGGACGAACGCUGGCGGCGUGCUUAACACAUGCAAGUCGAGCGAUGAAGCUUCCUUCGGGAAGUGGAUUAGCGGCGG